Rosa chinensis is the source of this 447-nucleotide long non-coding RNA. RefSeq lists it as uncharacterized. The record is from RefSeq and is a predicted model, not a curated record. The transcript has 2 exons. NCBI's taxonomy places the organism in Eukaryota, Viridiplantae, Streptophyta, Magnoliopsida, Rosales, Rosaceae.
AAAACAGAACGUGAGUGAGGGAGAUAGAGAGAAAGGAGUAGGAUAGAAAGAAAGAAAUAAACAGAAAGGAAAGGAAACAAAAGAAGAAAAAAGACACUGGGAGAAAGAAAAGGAUAUGUGAGAAUGAAAAUAGAGAGGGAAGAAGAGAAAAGGAAAGGGGUAGAAGAAAGAGAAGGGAAGGCAUGAUUACAAAGAUUAGUUUUGGAGAAUUAGAUUUGGGAUUCAAAGAAGGCAAGCAUAGAAGCAGAUUAAGAUGAUAAGAAACUUGGUUUUCUUAAGUCUUGCAGGUUAUUAAACACAAAAACUAUGAAGAUUAGUGAUCGAAAGCAAUUAGAGUUAGUUGGAGUUUUGUAUAUGUAAGAUCAUUAUUCCGGAAGUGAGUACUCUUAGUGAUCUUGAGUUGGAUUUAUCCUUAUACCGAAAUGAGAAGUCAAUUCCAUUAUCAAA